RNAcentral lists this ribosomal RNA (391 nucleotides) under uncultured Gammaproteobacteria bacterium. RNAcentral's name for it is "bacterial SSU rRNA". It matches the Rfam family "Bacterial small subunit ribosomal RNA", at positions 370 to 779 of the family's 1533-position model. The record is from RNAcentral. Lineage: Bacteria; Pseudomonadati; Pseudomonadota; Gammaproteobacteria.
AAUGGGGGCAACCCUGAUCAGCCAUGCCGCGUGAGUGAAGAAGGCCCUAGGGUCGUAAAGCUCUUUCGCCUGUGAUGAUAAUGACAGUAGCAGGUAAAGAAACCCCGGCUAACUCCGUGCCAGCAGCCGCGGUAAUACGGAGGGGGUUAGCGUUGUUCGGAAUUACUGGGCGUAAAGCGCGCGUAGGCGGAUUGGAAAGUUGGGGGUGAAAUCCCGGGGCUCAACCCCGGAACUGCCUUCAAAACUCCCAGUCUAGAGUUCGAGAGAGGUGAGUGGAAUUCCGAGUGUAGAGGUGAAAUUCGUAGAUAUUCGGAAGAACACCAGUGGCGAAGGCGGCUCACUGGCUCGAUACUGACGCUGAGGUGCGAAAGUGUGGGGAGCAAACAGGAUU